UAUAGUCUGGCUGGGAUACUAUCGAUAGCACCAGGCGUUUGGUGCUUGCUCGGAGCCGAAUUCCUUAACCUUUGACCUGGUCAAAGAUCUCCCUAGGGAAGCGUGCAGGAAUUAGGUACGGCUUCAUGUGGUGACCCUCGAAGUUCGCGCCCUCCGAUGGAUUAAGCGAUUCAGUUGAUGAGGGAUCGGUUCAGCCGGGUUCGAAGACCUUAAUUGCAGAAUCGGUUUCGCUGAAUGAGCCGAAUGUACGGAAUGCACAGUAAUUCAGGUCGGCUGAAGAGCCGAAUACCUUUAUAUAUAGACAUUAGAUUUGAAAACUUGUACAAAAGAAAGUGUGUAUGUGCGGCAUACAUACUCCAGAAAUCUAAUCCUAAAACUACUCCUAAGAAAGACAAUAAAUGCGAGAAAAGAAAAGAUUACAAGUAGAUUAUUCAUAGAAAUACAAAGAAAAUGCGUAGAGAUUGAAAGGUGGUCUUCUAUUCUCAGGGAAAAUACCCCUCUUCAGGCGUUACUCGCCUAUUUAUAUUCCGCUUAUUAUUGUUUCGGUUAUGUACACGAUCGGCCACUUCCCUGUUUUAGUGGGCCACUACAAGCUGAUCCUAACUACUCAAAACUACUUGCGGUUAUGCUGUUAUUCCUUUUCUCUACUCUCGGUGCACCAAAUGCCAUAUAAUCCUGACUUCUAAGCUUCUCGGCUGAAUCGUGCACGAACCUGCCACGUGGCUUUUUAUUAUUGGCCCUAACAAUUGCCUCCUCGGCAGCUUCCGAACAGACGAUUCGGUAGCUGACGUGAUCCUUUCUGAAGGUGCGAUUUUCGAAAUCAUCAUUUUGAACUACCUUGUACGAUUUCUUUCCCAGCCGUCCUUUCACCUUUGAUGGCCACGAUCUCCCAUAUUCCAUUUUGUCUUAUAUGCAGCAUUAAUUAGGUCACAUUUAUUGCUACUGUUUUUUCAUCAUUAAAGCCAGCUUCGGAAUUCCAUUCGGCGGCUUUUCUUUCCCUUUUUCUCUUUCUUGUUUUCUUUCUCUCCACGUUUUCUUUUCCUCUUUCGCCUUUUUUUUCUCUUCCUCUUCGCCUGAGGCUUUCAUCUUUGCUCUUCAUCUUCGCCCUUUUUGUCUUUGACUUUUAGUGUUUCUCUUUCGCCAUCUCCUUAGAUUUUUCUAGGAUGGCGCCGCUUCCGUCUCUUUCUUCUUCUUCUUCAUUGGAUUACAACUUACUUAGAUAAUUUGUUCCAUUGGACCCUUUUCAAUUCAUUUUAGGUUCCUCUUUUACUGAUGACCCAAUCCCUGAGGAUUUUCCAUUCUUAAGUGAGGGUUUUCCAUUAAUAGCCGAUGCCAUUCAUCUCCAUUCCUGGUAUGCUUCGACUUCGACGGGAAAAGUCUCCGGACUUGAUUGAGUGUUUCGGAAGCAUACCUCGCCUGGUUGGAUCGGGUGGAAGUUUCGUAUGUCGAUUUCUGGCGGGAGAUUGGUAUCUAUGAAGCUAUUCAAUUAUCUCGAACACCUCCUGUAGCCGACAACCUUCUUUUGGCUACGGUUCUCUGUUUUUGGUCCCCUGUUUCCAACACUUUCCUUUCUAGAGAGGAACUACUUACUCCUACUCUCCUUGACGUAGCAGCAAUCAUUGGUCUGCAUCCUCAUAGCAUCACCCUUUCGAUAGCCUAUAAUCCUAACGGCGUUGUUGAUUUUGAGGCCCAUCUUGAUAUUACAGAUUUAGCUUAUACCAAAUUUAUUCUCAAGUUCGCAGGCCAUUACCCUGCUGCGGUUACUAGGAAGGAACAUAUAGUAUUCCUUCUCUAUUGGUUGUGCCAUAACCUCUUUUGUACUCGUUCACAGAAGAUUAAUCGAGAUUUUGUUCCAAUCGCUAACGGCGAAAGAUUAGCCGUAGGGGCAUAUUUCCUUGCUUUUGUAUACAGAGAAACUUUUGAUUCGAUCAAAUCAUUGGCAUCUGGAGAGGGUUUAGCAAUCGGUUCUAGUUGUGGUGAUCUUUGGUCCUUGCAAAUGUUUUUGCAAAUUUAUUUUCCUUCUCUAUGCCGAACUUCUUUGGAUAUAGAUUCGGCUCCUUAUUUCGAUACUUAUGGGUUGGCUCUCGGCUGUCCAAAGCCGCUAUCCUCAGGCCACCCAUUUGAUUUCGGCACUUAUUUCAAGAUUUUUUAUAAAUCGCGUUGUCAUCGCCUCAUUUCAUGGUCCCCAUUUGCAGAAUGCGUUACUCGUCCAUCUUGGCUUCUUGCUCGAUAUGAAGCCAUCCAAGGUGAACUAGCCUCUUCUCAGGCUAGUGAAUAUUCAGAUGUCUGAUUUUCUUUAUUGGCUGCGUGAGAUCUGCAUGUCGGGUUGAAGAUACGCUCGAAAGUGAUGUCCAGUACUGAAGUCCAUUCUCCCCGGUAUUACAGAUUUUGUAUUGGCAAGUUUUGUGAUUUGAGUCAGAGUCUUGAAGGGUUCGGUUCGUGAUUGUCGAAGAUUGAAGAAUCCGAGAUUCCGAGAAUUCAAAAACAUCUCACCGUAUGAAUCACGAUGCUCAUGUAAGUUUUUAAAUGUCUUUAUAGUGAUUCAUAUCUAUUUAUGAUGUUAGAAUUAUAUAAACUAAUGUUUAAUAGAUUAGAAAUGGUUUUUGAAACUUUUAAAUUGAAUAUAACAAUAUUAUAUAUUGUGUACCGGUAUCAGGUUCCAAUUCGUCAAAACCGUAUUGAAAAAUUUGAGUUUUUAUAUUGUGUACCAGUAUCCACAUCUGGUUCCUCAAAACUCGAGAGCUACAAUUCUCAUAAUUGUAUUGAGUACCGGUACCGAGCUCUAGUACCGGUACUACAUCGGCUGUGUACCAGUACUGCAUUGGUCGAGUACCGGUACGUAGCAUUAGAAAAUUUCUAGAUGCGUCCUGGCGUACCAGUACCGACACCCGAGUACCGAUACUCAAGUGUAAAAUUUUCUAAUUUACAUUCUAAUCCUAAUCUAAUUGAUUCUAAAGUCAUAAAUAUGACAUUGGGGUUCUCUAAUACGUACAGAAGCAUAGAAUACAUGCAAGAGUAACCUUAGAGGCUAGGUUUUCGUUCUAAACCCAUUUCCAUCAAAUAGCCUCUUUUAGUUCAAUUCGAGAUAUUGGAAUUCAAUAUUUAUAUGUCGAAUUGAUCUAAUAUUUGCUUAGAGAUUUUUCUCUGGUUCUUGGAUUCGGCGUGAUCAAGGCGGUUCGUGGAUUCGGAUCGUGGGCUCGAGGAUUCGAGUGGCGUUCGUGGAUUAGGACGUGGGUGUAGCGUUCGUGGAUUCGAACGUAAGGCGCGGACAAUCCGGUGACGUGCGCGAGAUCCGUCAGCGGUUAAGAGAGUUUAAGUCCGUAGAGUCGGUAAUCACCUUGUAAUCUUUUUCUCUUAGUGGAUUUUUUUUCGUAUGUUGGUCCCGUGGAUUUUUCUCCAAAUUGGAGUUUUCCCACGUAAGAAAAUCGGUGUGCUAUUUUAUUUUUCGCAUUACUUUUAUCGGCGAGAGAUUUGUGUUUUUGGACUAUACACCUAUUCACCCCCCUCUAGGCGUUUGAUAGUAUCGAGAUAGAUCCAAGGGUUUGUAUAACCUACAAGUGGUAUUAGAGCGGGAUCUAGAUUUUUCUAUCACUAUGGGUGAAGAUGCUAACACUAAUUGACCUACGCUUUUUGAUGGCACAAACUAUGCCUAUUGGAAGGUUCGCAUGAGAGCUUUUCUAAUAGCCAUCGAUGAGCGGGUUUGGCACUCCGUCGAAUUUGAAUGGAAGCAUCCUACCGAAAAGGUUGAGAAUGUUGAGAAGCCAAAACCACGUGAUAAAUAGAAUAACGAAGAGAAAGAUUUAUCUUCUUACAAUGGUAAAGGGAUUAAUGCUUUAUUCAAUAUCUUGACACAAACUGAAUUUUCAUAUGUUUAAGCAUGUAAAACCAUCAAAGAAAUUUGGAACAGUCUACAUGUUAGACAUGAGGGUACAAGCUUGGUAAAGGUUUAAAAACUUCAAAUGUUGACAAGUAAAUUUGAUUCGAUUCGUAUGGAAGAAAAUAAAACCUUUACCGAGUAUUAUACUCUUCUUCAAGACAUUGUUAACACGGGUGCUAACUUGGGAGAGAAAAUUUCUAAGCCUAAAAUUCUAAGAAAAAUUCUUCGAACUCUUUUCGCAAGAUUUCAUCCGAAGGUUGCGGCAAUUGAGACUAUCAAGCAUCCGGAUGAAAUGGAAGUAGAGGAAUUAGUAAGUGCUUUAUAAACGUACGAAAUGACUUUUCCUACUAAUCAAUCUUCUUCCAAUUCUUCUUCUAAAAGUAUAGGGGUUUCACUCAAAUCGACAAAGAAGGAAGACGUGGACUCUGAUUCUGACGAAGAUAUUUCGCUUGCCGACUUCGAACGCCAAUUAGUGCUUCUCACGAAGAAAUUUUUUCGGAACUUCCGGAAGAACAAAACGAACAAAGCCUCAUCUUCUAAGCAAAAAUCUUUUUCAAAAGGAUUUUCAAGUUCAAAAUCAAAAGAAAAGAACUUGCAAAACUUUCUAAAGAAAAAGAUGAUUUUGAAGGAAAAUUCACUGCUACAAAUAUAAAGGCUAUGACCACAUUUCCACGGAUUGUCCUACUAAAAAAUUGUAUAAAAAGAAGGCUUUGCAAGCUAAAACAUGGAUGAUUCUGCUUCUAGUGAAUCGAUCUCAAGUGACGAAGAAAAGAAUGAUGUUAUUGUUUUAUUUACAAAUACGUCUUUACCUUCGUCUUCUGUUGUUUGUUUAUCUUCUAUUUUAUCUGACUCCAUAUUUUUGGUUUUGCAUGAAACAUCGAGCGAUGGUGAUGAAAGCUAUGAGGAGUCGGACGAGGAAGAUCUUGCAGCGACAUAUCAACAACUUCUUAUUGAUUCUAAGAAAAUGGCUAAGCACAACAAAAAGUUGAGAAAACGAUUAUUGGAACUUGAGGAUAAGAACAAAACAUUGAAGACCACAAAUAAAGCUCUUGAGAAGGAAAGGGAGUUGAUAUUGAAGAACAAUGGAAUCCCCCAAGAGAAGCUAGACCAAUCGAAAAUAACGAUAAAAUCCUAUCAAGAGAAUAUUGGUUUUCUAGAACAAUAAUAUGAAGAAAUUCGUGCAUCCAACCAAGUUUUGACCAAACAAGUUUAUCAACUCAAAUCCGAUAUUCAAAAGUUUUUCUCUGGAUCAAAGAAGCUAGAUCAUAUGCUUGGAUUGGGCCAAAAGAAUAAACUUGGGCUUCGAUAUGAGCGGACUUAUGUUGAGAAAGAUGAAAAUUCAAAACAAGUCUCAACAACUUAGAAGGAAAAAGUGUGCCAUAGAUGUGGAAUCAAAAGACACAUCAAGAAGACAUGCCCUAAAAAGGAUAAGAAGGCUUUAUCGGCACCUUCCAAUACUCGACAACCCCCACGGAUUCAAAAGCAACAUUAAUUGAGUUGAGUAUCUCGAAUCAACCGGGAGUCAAAGCCACAACAAAAAGUUCAACCAAAGUCGAAUGCAACACGAAGAUCGACGGUGAAUCGGAAGUGAAAACAAACGGUGCCUAACGUCAACAAGCCAAGACAACCAACAAUCUGACAAGUUUGGGUUCGGAAAGAUGAUAUCUUUCCUUAUCGUUCACACGCGAACGGUGCGGCGGCGCGAGGAAAGGGCGUAGCUCCGUAGAUAGUGCCCUACCCCGAGACCAGAGAUAGCAGUACCCCGUGUCGGCAUAGCUUAGGGUUAUAGGAAAUGAAAAGAACAAAUGUAUCAAACUUGUAAUAAAUUUGUAGCAACUUGUAUUGUAUUCGGAAGUUGGAAAAAUGUAAUAUGUAAUUCUGAUGUAAAAUGCAGCUAAAGAUGAAUGUUGUAAUAACUUAGUUGUUUUAUGUUUUUGAUACUUCCUUA
Long non-coding RNA from Ananas comosus (pineapple), 5825 nucleotides. RefSeq lists it as uncharacterized. The transcript is spliced from 2 exons. The record is from RefSeq and is a predicted model, not a curated record. NCBI's taxonomy places the organism in Eukaryota, Viridiplantae, Streptophyta, Magnoliopsida, Poales, Bromeliaceae.